This 497-nucleotide ribosomal RNA is filed under the name uncultured bacterium. Its description in RNAcentral is "partial 16S ribosomal RNA". It matches the Rfam family "Bacterial small subunit ribosomal RNA", at positions 28 to 507 of the family's 1533-position model. The record is from RNAcentral.
GAUGAACGCUGGCGGCGUGCCUAAUACAUGCAAGUCGAGCGAACGGACGAGAAGCUUGCUUCUCUGAUGUUAGCGGCGGACGGGUGAGUAACACGUGGAUAACCUACCUAUAAGACUGGGAUAACUUCGGGAAACCGGAGCUAAUACCGGAUAAUAUUUUGAACCGCAUGGUUCAAAAGUGAAAGACGGUCUUGCUGUCACUUAUAGAUGGAUCCGCGCUGCAUUAGCUAGUUGGUAAGGUAACGGCUUACCAAGGCAACGAUGCAUAGCCGACCUGAGAGGGUGUGCGCCCAAACGGGAACUGAGCCAGGGCCCGGACUCCUAGGGGAGGCACCAGAAGGGAAUCUUCCGAAAGGGGGGAAAGCCGGCCGGCGCAGCGCCGCGUGUGUGAUAAAGGUCUCCGGAUGUAAAACCUGUUUUAUUAGGGAAAAACAUAUGUGAAAGAAACUGUCCACAUCGUGACGGUACCUAAUCAAAAAGCCACGGCUAACUACGUG